AUUUGACCUCAAAUCAGGUAGGACACACUCUUCAC
RNAcentral lists this ribosomal RNA (35 nucleotides) under Tricholoma terreum. RNAcentral describes it as "partial 28S ribosomal RNA". The record is from RNAcentral. Lineage: Eukaryota; Fungi; Basidiomycota; Agaricomycetes; Agaricales; Tricholomataceae.